AUGAAAAUUAUUAUUCGCUUUAAGUAUAGAAUUACACAAAUUAUGUAUUUUAUCUAAUGUGUUAGUAAGUGUACCUGAGGUGUUUGUUAGUGUGUGUCUUUGCCUUUAAAUUUCUAAGGGAGCUCACGCUGUUUAAUUUCCUGUUUUGCGCCCGCCUCUUCCCUUUCUGCACUGACUAUGCAUGGGAGAGAAAAGCUGUAAGGGCGAAGACACACUGUAAAAGCUGUGCUUUUUGAUUUAUUCUCAGUGAGUAAAGAGCCGUCACAACUGCA
This is a non-coding RNA of Danio rerio (zebrafish), 272 nucleotides long. NCBI's taxonomy places the organism in Eukaryota, Metazoa, Chordata, Actinopteri, Cypriniformes, Danionidae. The record is from RefSeq and is a predicted model, not a curated record.